This 434-nucleotide ribosomal RNA is filed under the name uncultured bacterium. Its description in RNAcentral is "bacterial SSU rRNA". It matches the Rfam family "Bacterial small subunit ribosomal RNA", at positions 43 to 523 of the family's 1533-position model. The record is from RNAcentral.
CAGGCCUAACACAUGCAAGUCGAACGAGACCUUCGGGUCUAGUGGCGCACGGGUGCGUAACGCGUGGGAAUCUGCCCUUGGGUUCGGAAUAACAGCGAGAAAUUGCUGCUAAUACCGGAUGAUGACGUAAGUCCAAAGAUUUAUCGCCCAGGGAUGAGCCCGCGUAGGAUUAGCUAGUUGGUGAGGUAAAGGCUCACCAAGGCGACGAUCCUUAGCUGGUCUGAGAGGAUGAUCAGCCACACUGGGACUGAGACACGGCCCAGACUCCUACGGGAGGCAGCAGUGGGGAAUAUUGGACAAUGGGCGAAAGCCUGAUCCAGCAAUGCCGCGUGAGUGAUGAAGGCCUUAGGGUUGUAAAGCUGUUUUACCCGGGAUGAUAAUGACAGUACCGGGAGAAUAAGCUCCGGCUAACUCCGUGCCAGCAGCCGCGGUAG